UACGGAGGAUGCAAGCGUUAUCCGGAAUGAUUGGGCGUAAAGGGUCCGCAGGUGGCAGUGUAAGUCUGUUGUCAAAGAAUGAGGCUUAACCUCAUCAAGGCAGUGGAAACUACACAGCUAGAGUACGGUCGGGGUAGAAGGAAUUCCUGGUGUAGCGGUGAAAUGCGUAGAGAUCAGGAAGAACACCGGUGGCGAAAGCGUUCUGCUAGACCUGUACUGACACUGAGGGACGAAAGCUAGGGGAGCGAAUGGG
RNAcentral lists this ribosomal RNA (253 nucleotides) under uncultured bacterium. Its description in RNAcentral is "partial 16S ribosomal RNA". It matches the Rfam family "Bacterial small subunit ribosomal RNA", at positions 524 to 776 of the family's 1533-position model. The record is from RNAcentral.